This 253-nucleotide ribosomal RNA is filed under the name uncultured bacterium. Its description in RNAcentral is "partial 16S ribosomal RNA". It matches the Rfam family "Bacterial small subunit ribosomal RNA", at positions 524 to 776 of the family's 1533-position model. The record is from RNAcentral.
GACGUAGGGGGCCAGCGUUGUUCGGAAUUACUGGGUGUAAAGGGUUCGUAGGCGGUGCGGCAAGUUGGGAGUGAAAUCUCUGGGCUUAACCCAGAGGCUGCUUCCAAAACUGCUGUGCUUGAGUGUGGGAGAGGCGCGUGGAAUUGCAGGUGUAGCGGUGAAAUGCGUAGAGAUGUGGAGGAACACCGAUGGCGAAGGCAGCCCCCUGGGCUAACACUGACGCUCAUGCACGAAAGCGUGGGGAGCAAACAGG